Non-coding RNA from Doryrhamphus excisus (bluestripe pipefish), 2382 nucleotides. The record is from RefSeq and is a predicted model, not a curated record. NCBI's taxonomy places the organism in Eukaryota, Metazoa, Chordata, Actinopteri, Syngnathiformes, Syngnathidae.
GUGGCAGUUGUGGGCACGUGGUCAUUGGCUCGUGGCUGUGGUUCUGGUUGGGUGGUCUUUGAUGCCGAUAGAUUUAAAACAGACUAGGCUAGUUGUGUGGAAGAAUAACUAACUUAUGUGGCUUAAAACAAGUAUCUUAACUGCUAUUUAUUUAAUAGACAGUACCGCAAAGUACGCUGGAAACCAGGAAGUACGCAAAUCGACGCUACAAUAUGAAGAGGACAAGUAAGUUUUCACCGGCAUGUCUGAAGUAAAUGGGUCGUCUUGCAACAACAUUGUCUUCAUUGGCUCCGGUUUAACUUAGUGUUGAGGCAGCGUUCCAAUACGCUGCACGAGAACACUAGAGUUGCCAUCCAACGCCGUACAAGUAAUGCUACAAGAAACUGUUGCUGAAGCCAAAAGAAGCGUCGUGAUCUCCCCGGGAAAGGUGCAUUAAUGUCGGACACGCCGUGCUGCUGUGAGUCCAUGGAGGUGCAGAGAACCACAGUCCUCACCGAUGUCCGAAAUACGGCCCACUCUUCUGUGAUUGGUCACACACCCAAGCGCUCCUGAGGACUUCCGUAAACAUAGGUCGGUGUGCUGCAGGGCUCACUUGAAAAUGUGCAAACCUCUUUAUCUGAUGAUUUGGCAUCUUUUAACACCAGAAUAAAACAUUGUAACCACAUUUAGAGGUCAGAAAAGUCAACAAACAAAACAAAAAGGGGAAAUAUAAAAAAGCUGUCAUAUCAAAAUAUAAAGUCAAAAUAUUAAGAGAAAAAUUUUUGCAAUUUUAAACAAUAAACUUGUAGCAUUAUGAUAAAAAAUAAUGUCAUUUUAGUAGCAUCGAGAAUGAGUUUAUAUUUUUUUCUUGAAAUUUAGAUAACUUCUUCGAAAUUAUGAAAGCAUCCUUUAAGUUCUGACGCCCCAGGCCUGGAGGUAAAACAAACCAUAGGUUCCCCAAGAUGGCGGAAGACGUUGUUGGAUUGACGGAGAUGGCAAAAGCAGACAACAGACAGGAAGACAAAGCGGACUACUGCACCUUUCUGGAGGCUCAUGUCCACCAUGCGAGGCUCGGCCAGCUCCAGGAAGAAGUUCUUGUUUUUCUCGUACUCUUCAUCGUCAAUGAUUUUCACGUGAAUGACUUUGCUGCGGAGGACGAUGAGGAGAUGGGCGGGGGGGGGGGUUGACAGGGUAAGGAGAAGGAGAAGGAGAGGUUAAUUUGCCAUGGAAGGACACAGAAGCCGCUCGGAUUAAUAAUCUGCAUGGCGGAAAAGGUUAGAAGGUGAAAGGUCAGUGCGGUUGCUAUGGCGAUGGCACGUGAAGCACAGGCCAGACGCUUGGCGUGAAAUCCAUCAGGACCAAAAAUGAGGUGAGCAGACGCUAAAUGAAAGAAAGUGUUGCUUUCCAAUUCGGUUUUUGGGGGGAUUUGUACCCCCACCCCCAAUCACCACAAGGGAGCAGAUCAAUACCAGCAGGCCCCACCCCCAAAUGAGUGGUCAUCAGGCAAGGUUUCUAUGUGAUGAAGGUUUUUCCAUCGACAUUCAUGAUUGCUAUCAAACAAAACACGUGGAGUCUUCAUAAAUACGUGAUUCAGUGAAGAACCCACAUUCUAAAGUAAUGGUAAUGGUAAUGGUAAUGGUUAAAUUUCAUUUGAACAUGUAUCAGAUUACAAUUGAAUGCAUCCCAUAAUCAGUUCACAGUUCCACAUGUCCGAAAGGAGUAGGAAGAAGCAAAGCUUAUUAAAUCCUACCCCUCCAUCUGGUACUUUUACAAUCACUAACUGUUACAUUUGUUCACUUCCUGCUUUCCUAAUAUAGUUUAAGUAUUUUUAUUUUUUACAUUUUUUGUCCCGUACCACAGUAGGUUUUGAGUUACGGUCCCCUAUGUGAUUGAGUUUGACACCCCUGAAUUGUCAAUCAUUCAAUCAAUUGGUCCUUCAUUACUUUUAUUUUUUCAGUUUAUUAUUUCUCUUUAAACAAGCAAAAAAAAAAAUUCAGAUGACUCGACAAAAUCAACAAAAAAAUUCUGUAAAAUAUUCGAUUUCUGCAGCCCUAUCAUAAACAUAUAGAAAUAUUAUAUUUAUAUAUUUUUAUAAUAUAUAUUAUAAUAUUUUUAUAAUAUAAUGUGUGUAUAUAUAUAUCAUUUAUACCAAAAUUUAUUAUAGUUUAUAAUAUACAAAAUAUAAUUUCAAAUAUAUCAGCGACCCAGUGGUUAGCGCGCAGGCCUCACAGCUAGGAGACCCGAGUUCAAUUCCACCCUCGGCCAUCUCUGUGUGGAGUUUGCAUGUUCUUCCCGUGCAUGAGUGGGUUUUCUCCGGGUACUCCGGUUUCCUCCCACAUUCCAAAAACAUGCUAGGUUAAUUAGCCACUCCAAAUUGUCCAUAGGUAUGAAUGUGAGUGUGAA